RNAcentral lists this ribosomal RNA (256 nucleotides) under uncultured archaeon. Its description in RNAcentral is "partial 16S ribosomal RNA". It matches the Rfam family "Bacterial small subunit ribosomal RNA", at positions 521 to 776 of the family's 1533-position model. The record is from RNAcentral.
UAAUACGUAGGGUGCAAGCGUUAAUCGGAAUUACUGGGCGUAAAGCGUGCGCAGGCGGUUUGGCAAGAAGGAUGUGAAAUCCCAGGGCUUAACCUUGGAACUGCAUUCUUAACUGCCAGGCUAGAGUAUGUCAGAGGGGGGUAGAAUUCCGCGUGUAGCAGUGAAAUGCGUAGAGAUGCGGAGGAAUACCGAUGGCGAAGGCAGCCCCCUGGGAUAAUACUGACGCUCAUGCACGAAAGCGUGGGGAGCAAACAGG